GGAGGGGGCACCUGAUCCAGCCAUUCCGCGUGAGUGAAGAAGGCCUUCGGGUUGUAAAGCUCUUUCGCAAGGGAAGAAACGAUACAGUCUAAUAAACUGUGUUAAUGACGGUACCUUGAUAAGAAGCACCGGCUAACUACGUGCCAGCAGACGCGGUAAUACGUAGGGUGCGAGCGUUAAUCGGAAUUACUGGGCGUAAAGCGUGCGCAGGCGGUUUUGAAAGUCAGAUGUGAAAUCCUCGGGCUCAACCUGGGAACUGCGUUUGAAACUCCAAAGCUAGAGUAUGGGAGAGGGGGGUAGAAUUCCACGUGUAGCAGUGAAAUGCGUAGAGAUGUGGAGGAAUACCAAUGGCGAAGGCAGCCCCCUGGCUUAAUACUGACGCUCAUGCACGAAAGCGUGGGGAGCAAACAGGAUUAGAUACCCUGGUAGUCCACGCCCUAAACGAUGUCUACUAGCCGUUGGGGCCUUUGAGGCUUUAGUGGCGCAGCUAACGCGAUAAGUAGACCGCCUGGGGAGUACGGUCGCAAGACUAAAACUCAAAUGAAUUGACGGGGGCCCGCACAAGCGGUGGAGCAUGUGGUUUAAUUCGAUGCAACGCGAAGAACCUU
RNAcentral lists this ribosomal RNA (608 nucleotides) under uncultured bacterium. Its description in RNAcentral is "bacterial SSU rRNA". It matches the Rfam family "Bacterial small subunit ribosomal RNA", at positions 373 to 972 of the family's 1533-position model. The record is from RNAcentral.